AUGGCAAAAAUUUUGUGGAGUAGUUCUAUUGACAGGCGUUCUCUGCAUUGGAUAUCUUGGGAGAAGCUGUCCACACCAAAAGUACAUGGCGGCAUGGGCUUUCGGGAGUUUGAGAAGUUCAAUCUGGCACUUCUCGAGAAGCAUGGCUGAUGGCUCCUAACCCAUCCGGACACCCUCUGUUCGAGAGUUCUCAAAGGAAAAUAUUUUCCUAAUGGAGAUUUCAUGCAGGCUAAUGCUCUAGCUUCUGCUUCGGCAACAUGGAAGGCGAUCAUAGUGGGGCGC
RNAcentral lists this ribosomal RNA (282 nucleotides) under Triticum aestivum (bread wheat). Its description in RNAcentral is "partial small subunit ribosomal RNA". The record is from RNAcentral. Lineage: Eukaryota; Viridiplantae; Streptophyta; Magnoliopsida; Poales; Poaceae.